CUGCGAUUAUUCCUGCUGUUCUGAUUUUGCCACGAUCGGGACAGGCCAACCAUUCGCUCUAUUCUAUCAAGACCAUGCGUGUUGUCCCCAGGCCUAGUUCUUUAGGCACCUAGGUCUGGACUUAGCCAUGCUGGUGAUAAAU
This is a small nucleolar RNA of Suncus etruscus (white-toothed pygmy shrew), 142 nucleotides long. RefSeq annotates it as small nucleolar RNA SNORA72. The transcript has a single exon. The record is from RefSeq and is a predicted model, not a curated record. NCBI's taxonomy places the organism in Eukaryota, Metazoa, Chordata, Mammalia, Eulipotyphla, Soricidae.